AUUGAACGCUGGCGGCAGGCUUAACACAUGCAAGUCGAGCGGGGUGAUGGUGCUUGCACUAUCACUUAGCGGCGGACGGGUGAGUAAUGCUUAGGAAUCUGCCUAUUAGUGGGGGACAACAUCUCGAAAGGGAUGCUAAUACCGCAUACGUCCUACGGGAGAAAGCAGGGGAUCACUUGUGACCUUGCGCUAAUAGAUGAGCCUAAGUCGGAUUAGCUAGUUGGUGGGGUAAAGGCCUACCAAGGCGACGAUCUGUAGCGGGUCUGAGAGGAUGAUCCGCCACACUGGGACUGAGUCACCGCCCAGACUCCUACGGGAGGCAGCAGUGGGGAAUAUUGGACGAUGGGGGGAACCCUGAUCCAGCCAUGCCGCGUGUGUGAAGAAGGCCUUAUGGUUGUAAAGCACUUUAAGCGAGGAGGAGGCUCUUUUGGUUAAUACCCAAGAUGAGUGGACGUUACUCGCAGAAUAAGCACCGGCUAACUCUGUGCCAGCCGCCGCAGUAA
This 503-nucleotide ribosomal RNA is filed under the name uncultured bacterium. RNAcentral's name for it is "partial 16S ribosomal RNA". It matches the Rfam family "Bacterial small subunit ribosomal RNA", at positions 30 to 523 of the family's 1533-position model. The record is from RNAcentral.